UAGGGAAUCUUCGGCAAUGGGGGGAACCCUGACCGAGCAACGCCGCGUGAGUGAAGAAGGUUUUCGGAUCGUAAAGCUCUGUUGUUAAGGAAGAACGAGUGUGAGAAUGGAAAGUUCAUACUGUGACGGUACUUAACCAGAAAGGGACGGCUAACUACGUGCCAGCAGCCGCGGUAAUACGUAGGUACCUAGCGUUGUCCGGAUUUAUUGGGCGUAAAGCGAGCGCAGGCGGUUAGGUAAGUCUGAAGUUAAAGGCAGUGGCUCAACCAUUGUAGGCUUUGGAAACUGUUUAACUUGAGGGCAGAAGGGGAGAGUGGAAUUCCAUGUGUAGCGGUGAAAUGCGUAGAUAUAUGGAGGAACACCGGUGGCGAAAGCGGCUCUCUGGUCUGUAACUGACACUGAGGCUCGAAAGCUUGGGUAGCGAACAGG
Molecule: ribosomal RNA, 429 nt
Filed under: Bacteroidota bacterium
Lineage: Bacteria; Pseudomonadati; Bacteroidota
Description: Bacteroidetes bacterium partial 16S ribosomal RNA
Rfam family: Bacterial small subunit ribosomal RNA
Source: RNAcentral